Molecule: non-coding RNA, 30 nt
Filed under: Mus musculus (house mouse)
Lineage: Eukaryota; Metazoa; Chordata; Mammalia; Rodentia; Muridae
Source: RNAcentral
UGGGAAUGGUGCGCCUCUGGGCUUAUUCGG